UGGGAUGAAUAAUCCAAGGCGCUCGAGAGAACUCUGGCCAAGGAACUCGGCAAAAUAACCCCGUAACUUCGGAAGAAGGGGUGCUCUCUAGGGUGACAUGUUUAACAUAUGAAGCCCCGGGGAGCCGCAGUGAAUUGGUGGUGGCGACUGUUUACUAAAAACAUAGGUCUGUGCGAAGUCCUAAAGACGACGUAUACGGACUGACGCCUGCCCGGUGCUGGAAGGUUAAAAGGAGGGGUCAGCGCAAGCAAAGCUCCGAAUUGAAGCCCCAGUAAACGGCGGCCGUAACUAUAACGGUCCUAAGGUAGCGAAAUUCCUUGUCGGGUAAGUUCCGACCUGCACGAAUGGCGUAACGAUCUCCACACUGUCUCGGCCAGAGACUCGGUGAAAUUGCAGUCGCGGUGAAAAUUCCGUGUACCCGCAGAAAGACGGAAAGACCCUGUGCACCUUUACUAUAGCUUGACAUUGGAUUUUGGGCCUGCAUGUGUAGGAUAGGUGGGAGGCUGUGAACCCUGUACGCCAGUAUGGGGGGAGCCAUCCUUGAAAUACCACCCUUGCAUGUUUAAGAUCCUAACUUCUUCCGGUUAUCCCGGAGAAAGACAGUGUCUGGCGGGUAGUUUGACUGGGGCGGUCGCCUCCUAAAGUGUAACGGAGGCAUGCAAAGGUUCCCUCAGCCUGAUCGGAAACCAGGCGCUGAGUGCAAACGCAUAAGGGAGCUUGACUGUAAGAGAGACAUCUCGAACAGGAACGAAAGUUGGCGUUAGUGAUCCGGUGGUCCCGAAUGGAAGGGCCAUCGCUCAUUGGAUAAAAGGUACGCCGGGGAUAACAGGCUGAUCGCAUCCAAGAGUUCACAUCGACGAUGCGGUUUGGCACCUCGAUGUCGGCUCAUCACAUCCUGGGGCUGAAGUAGGUCCCAAGGGUACGGCUGUUCGCCGUUUAAAGUGGUACGCGAGCUGGGUUUAAAACGUCGUGAGACAGUUUGGUCCCUAUCUUCUGUGGGCGAAGGAGAAUUGAGAGGGCCUGUCCCUAGUACGAGAGGACCGGGAUGGACGCACCCCUGGUGAUCCUGUUGUCGCGCCAGCGGCAUAGCAGGGUAGCUAUGUGCGGAAGGGAUAACCGCUGAAAGCAUCUAAGCGGGAAGCCUGCCUCAAGAUGAGUUCUCCCCUCGAAAGAGCU
RNAcentral lists this ribosomal RNA (1176 nucleotides) under human gut metagenome. RNAcentral describes it as "bacterial LSU rRNA". It matches the Rfam family "Bacterial large subunit ribosomal RNA", at positions 1668 to 2826 of the family's 2925-position model. The record is from RNAcentral.